RNAcentral lists this ribosomal RNA (253 nucleotides) under uncultured bacterium. Its description in RNAcentral is "partial 16S ribosomal RNA". It matches the Rfam family "Bacterial small subunit ribosomal RNA", at positions 524 to 776 of the family's 1533-position model. The record is from RNAcentral.
UACGUAGGGUGCAAGCGUUGCUCGGAAUUACUGGGCGUAAAGCGUGCGUAGGCGGUUUGUUAAGUCCGUUGUGAAAGUCCUGGGCUCAACCUGGGAAUUGCAGUGGAUACUGGCGAGCUAGAGUGCGGUAGAGGAUGGUGGAAUUCCCGGUGUAGCGGUGAAAUGCGUAGAGAUCGGGAGGAACACCCGUUGCGAAGGCGGCCAGCUGGACCAGCACUGACGCUGAGGCACGAAAGCGUGGGGAGCAAACAGG